RNAcentral lists this non-coding RNA (21 nucleotides) under Arabidopsis thaliana (thale cress). The record is from RNAcentral. Lineage: Eukaryota; Viridiplantae; Streptophyta; Magnoliopsida; Brassicales; Brassicaceae.
UAUGAGGUCCUUUAGCGGUGU